AAAGGCGAAUGGGUCUCAUUCUCUUCCUCCUCGCCCCAGAGGUGUGACUAUAUCACACAUGCUCUGGCACAUUCUGCAGGAAGCAGCGAUUUCAUUGUGCUCUGUUCUGCAGUUUGUUGAGAUCUUCCGAGGGACAGGGAUUCUGGAGCUGGGAAAAAUGAAAUUCACCAUGGCUGUGCCAGCAUGUGUCCUGCUAAUCCAGACAGGUCUUGUUGGAUGUAACCCCCCAAAGCAAUUCCUCUCCGAGGUAUCAGCCACAGUUGGGCAGCGAGUGGUUCUGCCCUGCCAGUCCACCAUUGAGGACAGUGGCAGCAGUUUGAACUUCUUCUGGUACCGCCAGCUUCCGGGGGAAGCCUUGACAUUUCUCCUGCAAGCAUUUAAAGAUUCAGGGAAUGACAAGUUCCGCAGUGGCCGAUUCUCUGUGGUGGUCUACAAAAAUGAAACAGCCCCCCUAGAAAUAGCAUAUGUCUCUUUCGAGGACACUGCGAUUUAUUACUGUGCUCUGAUGUACCACAUUAAGCUAAGCCACAUUUCCACUCGUGCAAAAUCUGCAUUGCGAAGAACAGCACAGGAGGGAAAUCAACACCCCUAAAGAAAAGGAUCAACACCCCUGGACUUAACCUCCCGCUGCAGCAUCAAUCCUUACCUGCUCUUGGUUUGUGCAGUAUCUGAUACUGCACACCCCAAUCUGCUGUGGUGACAGUGUUCUGCCUGAGGUCUCGACCUAGCUGUGGGCAGAGCCAGGGAAUCCAUGUCUCUGCUUUCUCCUGGCCAGCCCUAGCCGUUGGCACAGCUACCUGAUGGACCACAGACCCUCAUCUUACUCCUCUUUGCAAAGUAGCCGAGGGGCAGGAAAGCAGCUUUUACCCUAAUGCCUUCAGCACUACGCAGGGUGUCCUUCUUUGUGCUGCAUAUGGUUAGAUGAUGAGAUCCUCCCACAUACAUCCCAGU
Strigops habroptila (Kakapo) is the source of this 951-nucleotide non-coding RNA. NCBI's taxonomy places the organism in Eukaryota, Metazoa, Chordata, Aves, Psittaciformes, Psittacidae. The record is from the annotation of a RefSeq genome assembly.